RNAcentral lists this ribosomal RNA (2814 nucleotides) under Klebsiella pneumoniae. Its description in RNAcentral is "bacterial LSU rRNA". It matches the Rfam family "Bacterial large subunit ribosomal RNA". Lineage: Bacteria; Pseudomonadati; Pseudomonadota; Gammaproteobacteria; Enterobacterales; Enterobacteriaceae. The record is from RNAcentral.
UUAAGCGACUAAGCGUACACGGUGGAUGCCCUGGCAGUCAGAGGCGAUGAAGGACGUGCUAAUCUGCGAAAAGCGUCGGUAAGGUGAUAUGAACCGUUAUAACCGGCGAUGUCCGAAUGGGGAAACCCAGUGCAAUUCGUUGCACUAUCGUUAACUGAAUACAUAGGUUAACGAGGCGAACCGGGGGAACUGAAACAUCUAAGUACCCCGAGGAAAAGAAAUCAACCGAGAUUCCCCCAGUAGCGGCGAGCGAACGGGGAGCAGCCCAGAGUCUGAAUCAGCUUGUGUGUUAGUGGAACGGUCUGGAAAGUCCGACGGUACAGGGUGAUAGUCCCGUACACCAAAAUGCACAGGCUGUGAACUCGAAGAGUAGGGCGGGACACGUGGUAUCCUGUCUGAAUAUGGGGGGACCAUCCUCCAAGGCUAAAUACUCCUGACUGACCGAUAGUGAACCAGUACCGUGAGGGAAAGGCGAAAAGAACCCCGGCGAGGGGAGUGAAAAAGAACCUGAAACCGUGUACGUACAAGCAGUGGGAGCACCUUCGGGUGUGACUGCGUACCUUUUGUAUAAUGGGUCAGCGACUUAUAUUCUGUAGCAAGGUUAACCGUAUAGGGGAGCCGCAGGGAAACCGAGUCUUAACUGGGCGUUAAGUUGCAGGGUAUAGACCCGAAACCCGGUGAUCUAGCCAUGGGCAGGUUGAAGGUUGGGUAACACUAACUGGAGGACCGAACCGACUAAUGUUGAAAAAUUAGCGGAUGACUUGUGGCUGGGGGUGAAAGGCCAAUCAAACCGGGAGAUAGCUGGUUCUCCCCGAAAGCUAUUUAGGUAGCGCCUCGUGAACUCAUCUUCGGGGGUAGAGCACUGUUUCGGCUAGGGGGUCAUCCCGACUUACCAACCCGAUGCAAACUACGAAUACCGAAGAAUGUUAUCACGGGAGACACACGGCGGGUGCUAACGUCCGUCGUGAAGAGGGAAACAACCCAGACCGCCAGCUAAGGUCCCAAAGUCAUGGUUAAGUGGGAAACGAUGUGGGAAGGCACAGACAGCCAGGAUGUUGGCUUAGAAGCAGCCAUCAUUUAAAGAAAGCGUAAUAGCUCACUGGUCGAGUCGGCCUGCGCGGAAGAUGUAACGGGGCUAAACCAUGCACCGAAGCUGCGGCAGCGACACUAUGUGUUGUUGGGUAGGGGAGCGUUCUGUAAGCCUGCGAAGGUGACCUGUGAGGGUUGCUGGAGGUAUCAGAAGUGCGAAUGCUGACAUAAGUAACGAUAAAGCGGGUGAAAAGCCCGCUCGCCGGAAGACCAAGGGUUCCUGUCCAACGUUAAUCGGGGCAGGGUGAGUCGACCCCUAAGGCGAGGCCGAAAGGCGUAGUCGAUGGGAAACAGGUUAAUAUUCCUGUACUUGGUGUUACUGCGAAGGGGGGACGGAGAAGGCUAUGUUAGCCGGGCGACGGUUGUCCCGGUUUAAGCAUGUAGGCUGGUUGUCCAGGCAAAUCCGGAUAAUCAAGGCUGAGGUGUGAUGACGAGGCACUACGGUGCUGAAGUAACAAAUGCCCUGCUUCCAGGAAAAGCCUCUAAGCAUCAGGUAACAUCAAAUCGUACCCCAAACCGACACAGGUGGUCAGGUAGAGAAUACCAAGGCGCUUGAGAGAACUCGGGUGAAGGAACUAGGCAAAAUGGUGCCGUAACUUCGGGAGAAGGCACGCUGGUGUGUAGGUGAAGUCCCUGCGGAUGGAGCUGAGACCAGUCGAAGAUACCAGCUGGCUGCAACUGUUUAUUAAAAACACAGCACUGUGCAAACACGAAAGUGGACGUAUACGGUGUGACGCCUGCCCGGUGCCGGAAGGUUAAUUGAUGGGGUUAUCCGUAAGGAGAAGCUCUUGAUCGAAGCCCCGGUAAACGGCGGCCGUAACUAUAACGGUCCUAAGGUAGCGAAAUUCCUUGUCGGGUAAGUUCCGACCUGCACGAAUGGCGUAAUGAUGGCCAGGCUGUCUCCACCCGAGACUCAGUGAAAUUGAACUCGCUGUGAAGAUGCAGUGUACCCGCGGCAAGACGGAAAGACCCCGUGAACCUUUACUAUAGCUUGACACUGAACAUUGAGCCUUGAUGUGUAGGAUAGGUGGGAGGCUUUGAAGCGUGGACGCCAGUCUGCGUGGAGCCAACCUUGAAAUACCACCCUUUAAUGUUUGAUGUUCUAACGUUGGCCCCUUACCGGGGUUGCGGACAGUGUCUGGUGGGUAGUUUGACUGGGGCGGUCUCCUCCCAAAGCGUAACGGAGGAGCACGAAGGUUAGCUAAUCCUGGUCGGACAUCAGGAGGUUAGUGCAAUGGCAUAAGCUAGCUUGACUGCGAGCGUGACGGCGCGAGCAGGUGCGAAAGCAGGUCAUAGUGAUCCGGUGGUUCUGAAUGGAAGGGCCAUCGCUCAACGGAUAAAAGGUACUCCGGGGAUAACAGGCUGAUACCGCCCAAGAGUUCAUAUCGACGGCGGUGUUUGGCACCUCGAUGUCGGCUCAUCACAUCCUGGGGCUGAAGUAGGUCCCAAGGGUAUGGCUGUUCGCCAUUUAAAGUGGUACGCGAGCUGGGUUUAGAACGUCGUGAGACAGUUCGGUCCCUAUCUGCCGUGGGCGCUGGAGAAUUGAGGGGGGCUGCUCCUAGUACGAGAGGACCGGAGUGGACGCAUCACUGGUGUUCGGGUUGUCAUGCCAAUGGCACUGCCCGGUAGCUAAAUGCGGAAGAGAUAAGUGCUGAAAGCAUCUAAGCACGAAACUUGCCCCGAGAUGAGUUCUCCCUGAGACUUUAAGUCUCCUGAAGGAACGUU